AUGCACCCAACAGUGCUUCACAAGAUAAACCCAGAAAUUUCAAAUACAAACCCAUAGCUGUGGUCUUUCUGAAUUCUAUGCAACUGAAAAAUGGCUCUGAUAUUUUUCUGCAGUGAAAACAAGAGUGAAAACGAAGAGGUGGCAUUUUCUGAAGGGAGCUGCAAGUUUAUUCAGCAGUGGUGCCAUGAGUCUAUCCAGGAGUACCGUGAAUCUAAAGGUUGAGAACCUCUGCUUUAAAAUAUAGCAGAUCUAUACAAUAUACAUUUCUGUCAAUAAUAUGAAUCUAAGAACCUACAUACCAGAUAUAUUCAUAUCCUUAAAAUAAAUUCUGUUAGGAAAUAUAAGCUUAGAUUAGAAGACCAGUGUUAUAGAGGAAAAUUUAUAUUUUAAAAGGGAAAACUGCAUAAAAAUAUUGACAUACUAAUUUAGUGGCUGAGUAUUCAAUACAAAUACAAAGAAAAAUUAACAUGUUCACUGGAAGACUGUUUGUCUUCAAGUAAUUUAUAACACUGCCAAAAGUGAGAUUUAAAACCAUGGCUUCCACUGUUUUCUAAACCUCCAAUAGUUGACUGGUUAAGUCAGUCAAAUGAACUCAGUGAAAACCAUUUUGUUAAUGGUUUCUUUAAAUUAAGGUGAUUUUGCUGACCUCCAAAGCUGUGUUACAUGUAAAUCUGUUAUAGCAUUUUCAUUUCGCAUUAUUUUCUAAACAGCUGAAGGUAUUUAAAAAUAAUAAUAAUAAUUUGGGGGACUUUUUGGGUUAUUGCUAUUUGACAGAACAAACUCAAGAAGUCCAUGUGUAUAUUACAAGAAUCAAUUAUUUGCUAUUGAUUUAUUUCUUAAUAAAUACAUUGAUUUCUUAAUCAAACUUUUUAAAUGUCAAUACUGCCCUCUGUUGAAUGAAUGUGGUAUGGAUCAAUGGAAAAACUACAGAAAAUCUCUCUCUCUCACCUGUCCUAAAUUCAGGUUUCUAACUGGUGCUCAAAAUAAUGAUACCAAGAGAGCCUGACUAUUAUGUUGAACAGCAUGAUAACCUUAAGAGUGUCUGGUCUGUCCCACCCUACCCCAAACAAUAGCAUUUAUACUGCCCACAGCAAUAUGUAUUUUCUGGGAACAAAGAUCUACUGAAAAGGACAAAUAUGUGUACACAGCUGAAGGGGCAGAAUACAAGUGCUCUACCUUUUUUCCCCAGGAAACUAUAACACAGAGCCAUGAAAUUCAUAUUUGAUUUAUCUUCUAUUGGUCCCAAUUUUUUUUUGGUCAAUUUAGCGCUCUCUAAAUUGGCAGCAGCCAGAGAUUCAGCUAUUAUUAUUUAAGAUCUCAUAUCUUAAUCCUGGAAAUAUAACUGUGCUUUUUGACUUCUGAACUUCAUCUCUUUGUAUUCUGCUACUUGUUCCAAUCUUUGCACAUAACUUUCCAAGUAUGUGCCAUCACUCACUUGCAAGUUUUGAGAUUGCUGGUAAACGCUAAUUUUCCAGCUCUGUCCAGAUUAUUAAUAAAAUUAAAUUGGACUGCUCUAAAUAUCUGUUUGUGGUAGCCUCCUUUUUAGUGUUAUGAUUAAUGAAUACUUUCUGAUAUUGUAAAUUAGAUCUUAAUCCAUGCAAUAGUGCAUUAGAGUGCUUAGUAACAGGUUUUCAUGUGCCAUUACAAUGAAAGGCUUACUGAACCUGACAUGUAAAUUGUUUUCUACUUUUCCUUUGUAUACUAAAAUGUAAUUAAAUUUGGCUGGCAUAGCUUAUUUGUAAUUGGGCAUUUGUUUUAUUCAGUUUCAUCUUGAUUUUACUGCAUUCUUUACAGGCAGCCCUCACACUUAUGACACAAUUGUUUCCUGAAAACUGCGUCUUAAGUCGAAACAUCAAGAGUUGGAACCAAUUUUCCCAUAGGAAUAAUAUUAUAAAAAGGGGAUUGGUUUCUUUACCACCAUCAAGACAGCUGCAUAGAGCUGGUAAAUCUGUUGUGAUGGGGGUA
This is a long non-coding RNA of Gavialis gangeticus (Gharial), 1965 nucleotides long. RefSeq lists it as uncharacterized. Lineage: Eukaryota; Metazoa; Chordata; Crocodylia; Gavialidae. The record is from RefSeq and is a predicted model, not a curated record. The transcript has 3 exons.